UACAGAGGUUCCAAGCGUUGUUCGGAUUCAUUGGGCGUAAAGGGUGCGUAGGUGGCGGCGAAAGUCUGGUGUGAAAUUUCGGAGCUUAACUCCGAAACUGCAUCGGAUACUUCGUUGCUCGAGGACUGUAGAGGAGAGUGGAAUUCACGGUGUAGCAGUGAAAUGCGUAGAUAUCGUGAGGAAGACCAGUUGCGAAGGCGACUCUCUGGGCAGUUCCUGACACUGAGGCACGAAGGCCAGGGGAGCAAACGGG
Molecule: ribosomal RNA, 253 nt
Filed under: uncultured bacterium
Lineage: Bacteria
Description: partial 16S ribosomal RNA
Rfam family: Bacterial small subunit ribosomal RNA
Source: RNAcentral